CUUGUUCCAGCAUUUCACUGCCAAGUGCCAGAAGAAUGAGAAAUAUGCUACUUCCAGAUUGAACAUCUUUUUCAAUCCUAGUAAAAUAUGACAAAGUACAGAGAAGCCAAAAAAUAUUUGGACCAUCAAGCUCAUCAGAAAUGCUGCUUAUUGGCUGGGUGUGGUGGCUCACGCCUGUAAUCCCAGCAUUUGGGAGGCCAAGACUAACACCACAUCUACAGACACUGACCCUAGAUCACACCUCCAGGAGACAGGAGACAACAUCUUAACACUUUUCACCAUGCAUCCUCCUCUUGAAUCAGAGUGGACUAUUUGUAACUUUCGCCAGCACCUGGGCAUGAGGGAUUUUGGUAAAGCACAGGAAUGAGAGAAGAUAAAACAAAACGAAGGAGCUUCACAGAACUGGAGCAUAUG
This 414-nucleotide long non-coding RNA is filed under the name Homo sapiens (human). RNAcentral's name for it is "HSALNT0403558". Lineage: Eukaryota; Metazoa; Chordata; Mammalia; Primates; Hominidae. The record is from RNAcentral.